This 300-nucleotide transfer RNA is filed under the name uncultured Candidatus Endomicrobium sp. RNAcentral's name for it is "partial contains 16S ribosomal RNA and 16S-23S ribosomal RNA intergenic spacer". The stretch from base 229 to 300 matches the Rfam family "tRNA". The record is from RNAcentral. Lineage: Bacteria; Pseudomonadati; Elusimicrobiota; Endomicrobiia; Endomicrobiales; Endomicrobiaceae.
AAGGUAGCCGUACGAGAACGUGCGGCUGGAUCACCUCCUUUAUAAGGAGUAAACAUACGUCUCUUGAACUUGUUCAGGACGGGAUGUUAAUGGUCGGUCUUUAGAUUAUAUCAUUCGGGGUUGCUGAUUUUGAGGGGCGUUUGUCUGUGUGUUAUUUAGCGUGUUUUGCGCUGUCGGCGGGUUGUUUUCGCCAAUCUAUAUCUUUUUAGGGCGGUGAGAGUUGUAAACGGGCCUAUAGCUCAGUUAGUUAGAGCGCACCCCUGAUAAGGGUGAGGUCUGUGGUGCAACUCCACAUAGGCC